This 303-nucleotide unclassified non-coding RNA is filed under the name Bombus terrestris (buff-tailed bumblebee). RNAcentral's name for it is "misc RNA ENSBTSG00005038066.1". The record is from RNAcentral. Lineage: Eukaryota; Metazoa; Arthropoda; Insecta; Hymenoptera; Apidae.
UCCGCAGAUCUGAUCCGUCGUGUGAAGUAAUUGGGUAACUAAUGGGUUUUGGUGGUUGUUAACUGGGGUUUGGUGGUUGUAUUAUAUCUGACUGAAUCCUUGUUGGGAAUUGUUAUAUUGCUAAUGGUGACCGGAGGGCAGAGUCGAGACACCGCUGGAGAGUAGAUGAAGCAAUUAUCGGGUCUGCGUGGGACGCUAAUAGCGCUGUGUCGUCAACAAAUGUUGCCAUAGUUACCUCUGUUGAUAUUGGUAAAUCGGCAGUGUAGAUGGAGAACAGCAGGAGUCCGAGAACGCUGCCUUGGG